CCUACGGGAGGCAGCAGUGGGGAAUAUUGCGCAAUGGGCGAAAGCCUGACGCAGCGACGCCGCGUGAGGGAUGAAGGUCUUCGGAUCGUAAACCUCUGUCAGCAGGGAAGAACGGUCACUGUGCUAAUCAGCAGUGAAUUGACGGUACCUGACAAGGAAGCACCGGCUAACUACGUGCCAGCAGCCGCGGUAAUACGGAGGGUGCGAGCGUUAAUCGGAAUUACUGGGUGUAAAGCGCACGUAGGCGGUAUGUCAAGUCAAGGGUGAAAUCCCCGCGCUCAACGGGGGAACUGCCUUUGAAACUGGCAAACUUGAGUGUGUGAGAGGAGAGUGGAAUUCCAGGUGUAGGAGUGAAAUCCGUAGAUAUCUGGAGGAACAUCAGUGGCGAAGGCGACUAUCUGGCACAUAACUGACGCUGAGGAGCGAAAGCGUGGGUAGCAAACAGGAUUAGAUACCCGAGUAGUC
Molecule: ribosomal RNA, 465 nt
Filed under: uncultured bacterium
Lineage: Bacteria
Description: partial 16S ribosomal RNA
Rfam family: Bacterial small subunit ribosomal RNA
Source: RNAcentral